UUUAUACUCCCUCCGUCCGAAAAUACUUGUCAUCAAAAUGGAUAAAAAGGGAUGUAUGUAGAACUAAAAUACGUCUAGAUACCUCUUCUUUUAUCCAUUUGAUGACAAGUAUUUCCGGACGGAGGGAGUAUGUA
Molecule: non-coding RNA, 134 nt
Organism: Triticum aestivum (bread wheat)
Lineage: Eukaryota; Viridiplantae; Streptophyta; Magnoliopsida; Poales; Poaceae
Source: Rfam